This 374-nucleotide ribosomal RNA is filed under the name uncultured organism. Its description in RNAcentral is "bacterial SSU rRNA". It matches the Rfam family "Bacterial small subunit ribosomal RNA", at positions 526 to 896 of the family's 1533-position model. The record is from RNAcentral.
CGUAGGUGGCGUAGCGUUGUCCGGAAGUUACUGGGUGUAAAGGGCGUGUAGGCGGGAAGACAAGUCAGAUGUGAAAUACCGUGGCUUAACCACGGGGCUGCAUCUGAAACUGUUUUUCUUGAGUGUCGGAGAGGAAAGUGGAAUUCCCAGUGUAGCGGUGAAAUGCGUAGAUAUUGGGAGGAACACCAGUGGCGAAGGCGACUUUCUGGACGAUAACUGACGCUGAGGCGCGAAAGCGUGGGGAGCAAACAGGAUUAGAUACCCUGGUAGUCCACGCUGUAAACGAUGGAUACUAGGUGUGGGAGGUAUCGACCCCUUCCGUGCCGCAGUUAACACAAUAAGUAUCCCACCUGGGGAGUACGGCCGCAAGGUUG